GACGAACGCUGGCGGCGUGCUUAACACAUGCAAGUCGAACGGAAAGGCCCUGCUUUUGUGGGGUGCUCGAGUGGCGAACGGGUGAGUAACACGUGAGUAACCUGCCCUGGACUUUGGGAUAACUUCAGGAAACUGGGGCUAAUACCGGAUAGGAGCUCCUGCUGCAUGGAGGGGGUUGGAAAGUUUCGGCGGUUGGGGAUGGACUCGCGGCUUAUCAGCUUGUUGGUGGGGUAGUGGCUUACCAAGGCUUUGACGGGUAGCCGGCCUGAGAGGGUGACCGGCCACAUUGGGACUGCGAUACGGCCCAGACUCCUACGGGGGGCAGCGGUGGGGAAUCUUGCACAAUGGGCGGAAGCCUGAUACAGCGACGCCGCGUGCGGAAUGACGGCCUUCGGGUUGUAAACCGCUUUCGCCUGUGACGAGGCGUGAGUGACGGUACUGGGGAAAGAAGCACCGGCUAACUCCGU
This 467-nucleotide ribosomal RNA is filed under the name uncultured bacterium. RNAcentral describes it as "partial 16S ribosomal RNA". It matches the Rfam family "Bacterial small subunit ribosomal RNA", at positions 28 to 506 of the family's 1533-position model. The record is from RNAcentral.